AUUCUCUUAGUAUAACCAAAGUACAACUGACUUCCAAUCAGUUAGUCCUAGUACAAGCCUGGGAGAGAAUA
This 71-nucleotide transfer RNA is filed under the name Dremomys rufigenis rufigenis. Its description in RNAcentral is "tRNA-Gly". It matches the Rfam family "tRNA". From Rfam's summary of the family: Transfer RNA (tRNA) molecules are approximately 80 nucleotides in length. Their secondary structure includes four short double-helical elements and three loops (D, anti-codon, and T loops). Further hydrogen bonds mediate the characteristic L-shaped molecular structure. tRNAs have two regions of fundamental functional importance: the anti-codon, which is responsible for specific mRNA codon recognition, and the 3' end, to which the tRNAs corresponding amino acid is attached (by aminoacyl-tRNA synthetases). tRNAs cope with the degeneracy of the genetic code in two manners: having more than one tRNA (with a specific anti-codon) for a particular amino acid; and 'wobble' base-pairing, i.e. permitting non-standard base-pairing at the 3rd anti-codon position. The record is from RNAcentral. Lineage: Eukaryota; Metazoa; Chordata; Mammalia; Rodentia; Sciuridae.